AUGAACGCUGGCGGCGUGCUUAACCCCUGCAAGUCGAACGAAGCACUUUAUUUGAUUUCCUUCGGGACUGAUUAUUUUGUGACUGAGUGGCGGACGGGUGAGUAACGCGUGGGUAACCUGCCUUGUACAGGGGGAUAACAGUUGGAAACGGCUGCUAAUACCGCAUAAGCGCACAGCAUCGCAUGAUGCAGUGUGAAAAACUCCGGUGGUAUAAGAUGGACCCGCGUUGGAUUAGCUAGUUGGUGAGGUAACGGCCCACCAAGGCGACGAUCCAUAGCCGACCUGAGAGGGUGACCGGCCACAUUGGGACUGAGACACGGCCCAAACUCCUACGGGAGGCAGCAGUGGGGAAUAUUGCACAAUGGGCGAAAGCCUGAUGCAGCGACGCCGCGUGAGCGAAGAAGUAUUUCGGUAUGUAAAGCUCUAUCAGCAGGGAAGAUAAUGACGGUACCUGACUAAGAAGCACCGGCUAAAUACGUG
This 480-nucleotide ribosomal RNA is filed under the name uncultured bacterium. RNAcentral describes it as "partial 16S ribosomal RNA". It matches the Rfam family "Bacterial small subunit ribosomal RNA", at positions 29 to 507 of the family's 1533-position model. The record is from RNAcentral.